RNAcentral lists this transfer RNA (77 nucleotides) under Fibrobacterota bacterium. RNAcentral describes it as "Fibrobacteres bacterium (soil metagenome) tRNA-Asp". It matches the Rfam family "tRNA". From Rfam's summary of the family: Transfer RNA (tRNA) molecules are approximately 80 nucleotides in length. Lineage: Bacteria; Pseudomonadati; Fibrobacterota. The record is from RNAcentral.
GGGCUGGUAGCUCAGCUGGUUAGAGCGCCGGCCUGUCAAGCCGGAGGUCGCGAGUUCGAUCCUCGUCCAGCCCGCCA